AUUGCCGAAACCCUACGUGAUAGAUUCACCCUUGCCGCUAUUAGUAUGCUUCACUGCAAAACACGUGUAUUACGGUGAAACAUACUAAAGCACAUUUGUCAGUUCGAAAUGCAAGGACUCUUGCCUUUUCGCUUUUGUGAUAUUAUGACAUUCAUUAUAUAUUCACUGCUAAAAUAUCCACAUUGAAAUGGAGACAUGGACAUUGAUGGCAGCGUGUGUGAUGUUUUAUCGUUUGCUUUAUUGUGUACCUGUCAUACUCCUAUUAAAUUUUUCUGUACUUUGUAAAGUGUUUAUGUACAUCACAUCGCAAGGAGUCACUGUGUAAUUAGCGGCCUUGUCAUGUUCAAAAACCAGGCUCUUCUCAAGAGAGGUUGGGGUUAAGUACCUGUGAAAUUUUUUUAGAGGGGGGUAGUUUUCGGAGAAGAAAUCAGAUGCAAUAAACAGACCUGUAGUAUCCUGGGUAUUUAACAGUGGAAAGGAUACAAAAUACAUCAUAUUUCUUGCCUGAAGCCAAGACGUAACUGAUAUUAAAUAGCAUCCAUGAGCAACUGCAAGCUGUGCACACCUAAAUCCAAAACGCAGUCCAUGCAGGCUAUCAGCUGCUUUGUUGAAGCCUCUGGUACAUUCUCAGUGGUGCAGUUAUUUUCGUCCGCCUUUUGCUCAAGUGCGCCCUAGACAUAAUUGAGUGAUUUGCAGUUGCAACUGGACUGCAGCCUCAGCUUGGGAGACCACUGGUAGGGCACAUUUUGUAAAACUAAGCUACACAUAGUAUUACCAGUUUGAGCAGAGACCUGUUUGUAUAUGUGUCACCUUUACCAUCUAAAUUUCUUAUCAUGAAUUCAGAAAAAUCUCCAGCACAUUGAGUUCCUAGAUUUUAAAUGCUGUAUAAGUUCUUGUUCACUGCGGUUGCGCUUGGCUUCUGUCCAAAUGGGAGAGCUGAACUUCUGCAUAGCACAUCAGGGACCAUUAUUAUUUACAUGCCUUCCUUUUAUUUAUCUUACCUACAAUCAAGAGCAAAUGUAUAUAGCACAUGAAUGUGCUGUGCAUAAACUUAACUUACAUUGCCAUGUUUAGCAGCACUGUGCAUGUAGCUGGUGUUUGGUCAUUCAAGCUAAACAUUAUUACAACCUUUAACUGUAGGUAUUAUGGUGUGAGAGCAGAGAAAUGGAUAUGCAAAGACAGUUGGGCACAUUAAGACUACAUCUUUUUGUGUGUGAAAAGAUGAAAGAUACGCAAAAUGGGACAGAACACAUGCAGUUUGAUUUUUUUCUCACACACAAAAAAUACGCCGGAGGAAUAAGGUUUCUUCACUGUGCCAUAGAAACUAUACGCUUGCUCAAAAAGGUAAUUCUGAUUCGUUGGAUUUGUUCUUGUGCUUUGUUUAUUUUCUUGAGUGUGCUUUACUUUUCAGACGUUAAUGUUUCAAACUCGUUUUUAUUUUCACAGACUGAACAUCCCACGUCUUGGUUUGGCUUCCUGGUACAGGAUACUUGCAUUUGGCAUGGAGUGAUGAAGCAGCAUGGUGUACUUUUAUUAAAAGCACAGAUUUCACCAGUAUAGAAGCAGCUCAUGAAAAAAAUGUGUGCUGAAAAUAAAGUGUUCCUACCCACAU
Long non-coding RNA from Dermacentor silvarum, 1612 nucleotides. RefSeq lists it as uncharacterized. NCBI's taxonomy places the organism in Eukaryota, Metazoa, Arthropoda, Arachnida, Ixodida, Ixodidae. The record is from RefSeq and is a predicted model, not a curated record. The transcript is spliced from 2 exons.